This 253-nucleotide ribosomal RNA is filed under the name uncultured bacterium. Its description in RNAcentral is "partial 16S ribosomal RNA". It matches the Rfam family "Bacterial small subunit ribosomal RNA", at positions 524 to 776 of the family's 1533-position model. The record is from RNAcentral.
UACGAAGGGUGCAAGCGUUACUCGGAAUUACUGGGCGUAAAGCGUGCGUAGGUGGUGCGUUAAGUCUGUCGUGAAAGCCCCGGGCUCAACCUGGGAAUGGCGAUGGAUACUGGCGCGCUAGAGUGCGGUAGAGGAGAGUGGAAUUCCCGGUGUAGCAGUGAAAUGCGUAGAGAUCGGGAGGAACACCAGUUGCGAAGGCGGCUCUCUGGGCCGUAACUGACGCUGAGGAGCGAAAGCAUGGGGAGCGAACAGG